AACGAACGCUGGCGGCGUGCUUAACACAUGCAAGUCGAACGCGAAAGGGACUUCGGGUCCUGAGUAAAGUGGCGCACGGGUGAGUAACGCGUAGAUAACCUGUCUUCAUGUCUGGAAUAAUACGCCGAAAGGGGUACUAAUACCGGAUAUUCUUGCUUUUCAUAAGUUAUGCAAGCAAAGGUGGCCUCUGCAUAUGCUACUGCAUGAAGAGGGGUCUGCGUACCAUUAGCUAGUAGGUGGGGUAAUGGCCUACCUAGGCGACGAUGGUUAGCGGGUCUGAGAGGAUGAUCCGCCACACUGGCACUGGAACACGGGCCAGACUCCUACGGGAGGCAGCAGUGAGGAAUAUUGCGCAAUGGGGGAAACCCUGACGCAGCGACGCCGCGUGAGUGAAGGAAGGCCUUCGGGUCGUAAAGCUCUGUCAAGAGGAAAGAAGUGUACAAUGGCUAAUACCUGUUGUAUUUGACGGUACCUCUAAAGGAAGCACCGGCUAACUCCGUGCCAGCAGCAGC
This 512-nucleotide ribosomal RNA is filed under the name uncultured bacterium. Its description in RNAcentral is "bacterial SSU rRNA". It matches the Rfam family "Bacterial small subunit ribosomal RNA", at positions 29 to 518 of the family's 1533-position model. The record is from RNAcentral.